UAGGUACUCCCUCCGUCCGAAAAAGCUUGUCCCUCAAAUGAAUGUAUCUAGCACCAAGUUAGUGCUAGAUACAUCCAUUUGAGAGACAAGCUUGGAACAAGCUUUUUCGGACGGAUGGGAGUAUUGA
This is a non-coding RNA of Triticum aestivum (bread wheat), 127 nucleotides long. The record is from Rfam. Lineage: Eukaryota; Viridiplantae; Streptophyta; Magnoliopsida; Poales; Poaceae.